GACGAACGCUGGCGGCGUGCUUAACACGUGCAAGUCGAACGGAAAGGCCCUUCGGGGUACUCGAGUGGCGAACGGGUGAGUAACACGUGGGUGAUCUGCCCUGCACUUUGGGAUAAGCCUGGGAAACUGGGUCUAAUACCGAAUAGGACCACGCGCUUCAUGGUGUGUGGUGGAAAGCUUUUGCGGUGUGGGAUGGGCCCGCGGCCUAUCAGCUUGUUGGUGGGGUAAUGGCCUACCAAGGCGACGACGGGUAGCCGGCCUGAGAGGGUGACCGGCCACACUGGGACUGAGAUACGGCCCAGACUCCUACGGGAGGCAGCAGUGGGGAAUAUUGCACAAUGGGCGCAAGCCUGAUGCAGCGACGCCGCGUGGGGGAUGACGGCCUUCGGGUUGUAAACCUCUUUCAAUAGGGACGAAGCGCAAGUGACGGUACCUAUAGAAGAAGCACCGGCCAACUACGUG
RNAcentral lists this ribosomal RNA (462 nucleotides) under uncultured bacterium. Its description in RNAcentral is "partial 16S ribosomal RNA". It matches the Rfam family "Bacterial small subunit ribosomal RNA", at positions 28 to 507 of the family's 1533-position model. The record is from RNAcentral.